This 468-nucleotide ribosomal RNA is filed under the name uncultured bacterium. Its description in RNAcentral is "partial 16S ribosomal RNA". It matches the Rfam family "Bacterial small subunit ribosomal RNA", at positions 28 to 507 of the family's 1533-position model. The record is from RNAcentral.
GACGAACGCUGGCGGCGUGCCUAACACAUGCAAGUCGAACGGAAAGGCCCUGCUUUUGUGGGGUGCUCGAGUGGCGAACGGGUGAGUAACACGUGAGUAACCUGCCCUUGACUUUGGGAUAACUUCAGGAAACUGGGGCUAAUACCGGAUAGGAGCUCCUGCUGCAUGGUGGGGGUUGGAAAGUUUCGGCGGUUGGGGAUGGACUCGCGGCUUAUCAGCUUGUUGGUGGGGUAGUGGCUUACCAAGGCUUUGACGGGUAGCCGGCCUGAGAGGGUGACCGGCCACAUUGGGACUGAGAUACGGCCCAGACUCCUACGGGAGGCAGCAGUGGGGAAUAUUGCACAAUGGGCGGAAGCCUGAUGCAGCAGCGCCGCGUGCGGGAUGACGGCCUUCGGGUUGUAAACCGCUUUCGCCGUUGACGAGGCGUGAGUGACGGUAAUGGGUAAAGAAGCACCGGCUAACUACGUG